Vicia villosa (hairy vetch) is the source of this 439-nucleotide long non-coding RNA. RefSeq lists it as uncharacterized. The transcript has 2 exons. Lineage: Eukaryota; Viridiplantae; Streptophyta; Magnoliopsida; Fabales; Fabaceae. The record is from RefSeq and is a predicted model, not a curated record.
UAAAGGUUACAAAUUAUUUAAAUAUUUUAAGAGAGCGUAAACUUUAUAAACUAUAAAUUAUAUUAUAUUUUUACAUGGGAAGAGAAAAAAUAUGGCUGAAGUUUUCAAAUUUGUUUAUGCUAUGAUUGUAUUUCUUUCCUUAUUUUUUGUUUCAACAAAAAUUUGCCAUGCGCAUGAUGUAUGUGAAACUGACCUCGAUUGUCCACAAAGUGUGAACAUGUUUUAUACUAUUAAGUGCAUUGAUCUUAAAUGUGAAGCGAUUCAGAUCCUAUAAGUACCAUAUCUAUUAAAGUCCUAAAACAUUCUAAAGAGUUGUCAUUUAGUUAUUAUGUCAACAAUUAAUAAGUUUGCUUUGUUUCUUUUUCUAAUUUCAUCGAUCUUGUAACUAUGACUUUGUAAUAAAAGAUAAAGGUAAAAAAUCAAAGAAUAUUAUUUAUUA